UACAGAGGGUGCAAGCGUUAAUCGGAAUUACUGGGCGUAAAGCGCGCGUAGGUGGUUUGUUAAGUUGGAUGUGAAAUCCCCGGGCUCAACCUGGGAACUGCAUCCGAAACUGCCUUGCUCGAGUAUGGGAGAGGGAAGUGGAAUUUCCGGUGUAGCGGUGAAAUGCGUAGAUAUCGGAAGGAACAUCAGUGGCGAAGGCGACUUCCUGGACCAAUACUGACGCUCAGGUGCGAAAGCGUGGGGAGCAAACAGG
Molecule: ribosomal RNA, 253 nt
Filed under: uncultured bacterium
Lineage: Bacteria
Description: partial 16S ribosomal RNA
Rfam family: Bacterial small subunit ribosomal RNA
Source: RNAcentral